GAGUUUGAUCCUGGCUCAGGACGAACGCUGGCGGCGUGCUUAACACAUGCAAGUCGUACGCUGAAGCCCGCGCUUGCGUGGGUGGAUGAGUGGCGAACGGGUGAGUAACACGUGGGUAAUCUGCCUUGUACUCUGGGAUAAGCCUGGGAAACUGGGUCUAAUACCGGAUAGGACCAUUCCUCGCAUGGGGGGUGGUGGAAAGCUCCGGCGGUAUGAGUUGAGCCCGCGGCCUAUCAGCUUGUUGGUGGGGUGAUGGCCUACCAAGGCGGUGACGGGUAGCCGGCCUGAGAGGGCGACCGGCCACACUGGGACUGAGACACGGCCCAGACUCCUACGGGAGGCAGCAGUGGGGAAUAUUGCACAAUGGGCGCAAGCCUGAUGCAGCGACGCCGCGUGAGGGAUGACGGCCUUCGGGUUGUAAACCUCUUUCGCCAGGGACGAAGGGUGAUACUGACGGUACCUGGAGAAGAAGCACCGGCUAACUACGUG
RNAcentral lists this ribosomal RNA (489 nucleotides) under uncultured Prauserella sp. RNAcentral describes it as "bacterial SSU rRNA". It matches the Rfam family "Bacterial small subunit ribosomal RNA", at positions 9 to 507 of the family's 1533-position model. Lineage: Bacteria; Bacillati; Actinomycetota; Actinomycetes; Pseudonocardiales; Pseudonocardiaceae. The record is from RNAcentral.